This 253-nucleotide ribosomal RNA is filed under the name uncultured microorganism. RNAcentral describes it as "partial 16S ribosomal RNA". It matches the Rfam family "Bacterial small subunit ribosomal RNA", at positions 524 to 776 of the family's 1533-position model. The record is from RNAcentral.
UACGUAGGUCCCGAGCGUUGUCCGGAUUUAUUGGGCGUAAAGCGAGCGCAGGUUGUUUAAUAAGUCUGAUGUGAAAGCCCACGGCUCAACCGUGGAGGGUCAUUGGAAACUGGGAGACUUGAGUGCAGAAGAGGAUAGUGGAAUUCCAAGUGUAGCGGUGAAAUGCGUAGAUAUAUGGAGGAACACCGGUGGCGAAAGCGGCUCUCUGGACUGUAACUGACACUGAGGCUCGAAAGCGUGGGUAGCAAACAGG